GACUUCUAUGAUGGUCUAAGUGGUUAGAACGUCAGCCUUGGAUGUAGAAGGUUACAGGUUCAAAACCCGGCCAAGUCA
This is a non-coding RNA of Potamilus streckersoni, 78 nucleotides long. The record is from the annotation of a GenBank genome assembly. NCBI's taxonomy places the organism in Eukaryota, Metazoa, Mollusca, Bivalvia, Unionida, Unionidae.